RNAcentral lists this long non-coding RNA (1029 nucleotides) under Homo sapiens (human). RNAcentral's name for it is "non-protein coding SNHG5:11". The record is from RNAcentral. Lineage: Eukaryota; Metazoa; Chordata; Mammalia; Primates; Hominidae.
CUUCGCGAGCGUCUGGGCGGGUGGUAGGUGAGUGGGUAUUGCGGGCUAGUAUCCGAGCAAAAGAUGGUGGCGCAGGCCGAGUUAAGAGCUUUAAUCCUGUGAAGACAUCUUAGUGAAGAGUUUAGAGUGCUGAGAGUUGAAAGCUUGCACGUGGGAAACGUGCGGCCGGACUGCCACAUGUACUGAGGUUGAGUCGUGACGGCCACAGGCUCCGAGUUUUGGCGUGAGGAACCGCUGAUCGGCCACGGGCGCCGAACUUGCUGGCCUCCGGCAUGUGCCUGAGCGGCGGCGGAAAAACCACCUUAAUUGGGGCGGAGGGUUAGUUUUAACAGCAAAGGGCCUUUACUAAAAUGGCGAAGGCCUUCCGUCGGCGUUGUUUUAAAAUGGGAAGCCUCGACCCUGUAUUGAAACUGAGCUGUUCGAAGGCGGCGUUGUGUGCAAUUCGGAUUAAUGAAGGGGAAGGGUUUUGUGUGGAAAAACGCCUUGGAGUGUGACAUUUCUGCGAGAAUGCUUAAAUACCGAUUUCCCGCAGGAACAAUGGCGCUGUCUUCAGUGGCACAGUGGAGCAGCUCUGAAGAUGCAAAGAUACACGAAAAAACUUCCAGAACAUCUGGGAGAAUAUUUAAUGGAAAAUCGCUUGGUUAAAACCUGACACUUUUAACAGUGAGGGUCGCUGUCUGCCCAUUGAUAGAGGCCAGAUUGUCUUGGAAGUUCCAAAGUUGCAACGAUUUCUUUAGUUGAAUCCAUGGACAUGAAACCCACAGAUAUAGAGGGUUGGCCCGGUGCAGUGGCUCACGCCUGUAAUCCCAGCACUUUGGGAGGCCAAGGCGGGUGGAUCACCUGAGGUCAGAAGCUUGAGACCAGCCUGGCCAACAUGGUAAAACCCCAUCUCUACUAAUAAUACAAAACAAUUUGCUGGGCAUGGUGGUGCACGCUUGUAAUCCAAGCUACUCCAGAGGCUGAGGCAGAAGAAUCGCUUGAAUCCGAGAGGCAAAGGUUGCAGUGAGCCCAGAUCACACCACUGCUCUC